Molecule: ribosomal RNA, 1225 nt
Filed under: Fictibacillus sp. BK138
Lineage: Bacteria; Bacillati; Bacillota; Bacilli; Caryophanales; Fictibacillaceae
Description: partial 23S ribosomal RNA
Rfam family: Bacterial large subunit ribosomal RNA
Source: RNAcentral
UAUAAGGUUAAGCUAGAAAGGGCGCACGGUGGAUGCCUUGGCACUAGGAGCCGAAGAAGGACGGGACGAACACCGAUAUGCCUCGGGGAGCUGUAAGUAAGCACUGAUCCGGGGAUUUCCGAAUGGGGGAACCCACCAUCCGUAAUGGGAUGGUAUCCAUAUCUGAAUACAUAGGGUAUGAGAAGGCAGACCCGGGGAACUGAAACAUCUAAGUACCCGGAGGAAGAGAAAGCAAAUGCGAUUUCCUGAGUAGCGGCGAGCGAAACGGAAACAGCCCAAACCAGAGGGCUUGCCCUCUGGGGUUGUAGGACACUCUACAUGGAGUUACAAAGGAACGAAGUAGGUGAAGCGGUCUGGAAAGGCCAGCCAAAGAAGGUAACAGCCCUGUAGCUGAAACUUCGUUCCCUCCUGAGUGGAUCCUGAGUACGGCGGGACACGUGAAACCCCGUCGGAAUCCGGGAGGACCAUCUCCCAAGGCUAAAUACUCCCUAGUGACCGAUAGUGAACCAGUACCGUGAGGGAAAGGUGAAAAGCACCCCGGAAGGGGAGUGAAAGAGAUCCUGAAACCGUGUGCCUACAAGUAGUCGGAGCCCAUUAACGGGUGACGGCGUGCCUUUUGUAGAAUGAACCGGCGAGUUACGAUCCCGUGCAAGGUUAAGUUGAAUAGACGGAGCCGCAGCGAAAGCGAGUCUGAAUAGGGCGACAUAGUACGUGGUCGUAGACCCGAAACCGUGUGAUCUACCCAUGUCCAGGGUGAAGUUCAGGUAACACUGAAUGGAGGCCCGAACCCACGCACGUUGAAAAGUGCGGGGAUGAGGUGUGGGUAGGGGUGAAAUGCCAAUCGAACACGGAGAUAGCUGGUUCUCCCCGAAAUAGCUUUAGGGCUAGCCUCGCGGCAAGAUUCCUGGAGGUAGAGCACUGAUUGGACUAGGGGCCCCCACAGGGUUACCGAAUUCAGUCAAACUCCGAAUGCCAGAGAAUUAUCCGCGGGAGUCAGACUGCGAGUGAUAAGAUCCGUAGUCAAAAGGGAAACAGCCCAGACCAUCAGCUAAGGUCCCAAAGUAUACGUUAAGUGGCAAAGGAUGUGGAGUUGCCCAGACAACCAGGAUGUUGGCUUAGAAGCAGCCACCAUUUAAAGAGUGCGUAAUAGCUCACUGGUCGAGUGACUCUGCGCCGAAAAUGUAACGGGGCUAAACGUAUCACCGAAGCUAUGGCUUGUACCGUA